UCAAGUACGAGUCACAUUGUUCAAUAUCACUGCAGAAGAAUUUUCAGUGUACCGUCAUUCGAACAUUACUAUUAAUUAAAGAUCACAUUGUAUCUCGUUCGUGUCAUUUAAGAUUUUAAAACGUUCAUUGUCGUUUGUUCGACGGAAUCGCACAAAUACGACCACGUUUCGGACGGACGACGAAAUAAAACGCAGUCGGACGCGCACGUUUCUGGCGCGCACCUGCACACAAGUAUGUGGUGCACUCGAAAGCGUUGUUAGUCAGAAAAUAGUUUAUGCAUAAUCUAACAAUAAAGGCACACCAAGGUUGGUCGAAAAUUAAUUAAGUAUUAUUAAUUCAAUCCGGCACUUAUUAAUUAUAUCGAACCGUGGCUGAAUCAUUAAACGGAGGUAAGUCGACAAGUCGGAUCCCAAGUCGAUGACGUACUCAGACUUGCCGGGUCAAAUAGCAGCAACCCGGGGUCUUUUAUGCACAUUUACGCGACGACGAGUUCUGUGGCGAUGUGCGCGCGCCGCGGCGCCACCGGCAAACCUGCGUUCGUCUUGUGCGUGGGGCCGUGGGGUCUAUCAGCAGGUCUCGCCGACAGCGAUAAUAUUUAUUGAGCUAAAUACGUUUCCCGUACACUGUUACCGCGGCGACGAUGAUUAUUAUUCCCGUCGCGGUAAUAAAACGUGUUUUAUCACACGUAUAAUAUUCACAUACUUCGCGAACGAACGGCCAUAAUAAAGCGUUAAUGAUUUUAUUACGGCGUGCACCAGAAGCCGGCGACCCGCGGUUCUUUAGCGUGACCUUGACAUCGAGAUUUUUUUUUCGCGGUAGACGAUUGUAACGUAAGCAAUUGAAUAGAAACGAAAUUGCUCGGUUUGCUUUUUCCCAACUUCCUUAUUAGCGGAACAGGGACUUCGAAUGAAUUGAAUUAAGAGAGUAGGUAGUAAAUGACGAUUAAAAAAAAAAAAGAAGGUUGUUCGUUCAUGUGGUUCAUUAAACAUAGCGGUUGGUACAUUUUUAGAAAAACAAAUUUUCUCGACGAAAAGUUGCCGACCUAAGCUAUAUACUAAAACUUGCCAUAAGUUCUGUCACACGUUUGAACUGGAAUAACUCGAAAAAACAUAUACUAUUUAUUCAAAAUGGCCCCUUCCAACUUUGUAACACAGCUUCAGACGUUUUGGCCAGUCAUCAAUCGCUUUACGAAUAACUUCAAGUGACAUUUUCUUCGCUUCGUUGACAAUACUUCUCUUCAAAGUGUCCACAUUAUGAUGACCGCGACAACAUACAGCCUCCUCUAAUACACUCCACAACUCGUGGCUUGCGUAUAAUCGUUUUCUAAUUAUCAGAUAAAGUUUAAUGCCAACCACUUUAUACUCAUAUAUAUACACCAAUCAAUUUAUUAUAAAAGUAUAUAUUAUGACGCAUACUGUAGUACUAACACUUUCAGCGUUUUCAGUUCGUUUGACUUGGAAUAUACGCUAUAAGUAUUCUUUCGCUCGAAAGCACAAAACACCGUGUUUGAAACUUUUUGCCACACAGACUUACCUGCCCCUUUACUUCUAUUAUAUAAUUGUAUAAAUAUUGAAAGUUAAGAUCCUCCGUUACAUUAUGUACAAUACGAAUUCGACUAUUUUCCAUUAUUUUUAAUGAUCAUCAUACCUUGUAAUUUUAAACAUUCGU
This 1669-nucleotide long non-coding RNA is filed under the name Sipha flava (yellow sugarcane aphid). RNAcentral describes it as "uncharacterized LOC112685629". Lineage: Eukaryota; Metazoa; Arthropoda; Insecta; Hemiptera; Aphididae. The record is from RNAcentral.